RNAcentral lists this ribosomal RNA (253 nucleotides) under uncultured bacterium. RNAcentral's name for it is "partial 16S ribosomal RNA". It matches the Rfam family "Bacterial small subunit ribosomal RNA", at positions 524 to 776 of the family's 1533-position model. The record is from RNAcentral.
CACGUAGGGCGCGAGCGUUGUCCGGAAUUAUUGGGCGUAAAGAGCUCGUAGGCGGCCUGUUGCGUCCGCUGUGAAAGCCCGGGGCUUAACCCCGGGUCGGCAGUGGAUACGGGCAGACUAGAGUGAUGUAGGGGAGACUGGAAUUCCUGGUGUAGCGGUGAAAUGCGCAGAUAUCAGGAGGAACACCGAUGGCGAAGGCAGGUCUCUGGGCAUUAACUGACGCUGAGGAGCGAAAGCAUGGGGAGCGAACAGG